Molecule: long non-coding RNA, 541 nt
Filed under: Chrysolophus pictus (golden pheasant)
Lineage: Eukaryota; Metazoa; Chordata; Aves; Galliformes; Phasianidae
Description: lncRNA (ENSCPIG00010007515.1)
Source: RNAcentral
AGAUUGCAGCCCAGAAUGAGAACAGGAGGCCUAUCACGGCAGGAAUGGUGAAUAAGGACAUGAAAAUAUCCAAAUGACAAAAUCCAGUUGGGUUUCCAAAACACUCUUGAAAAGGCCACUCACCUAAGGUUUUUGAAGAGCUACCACUGUGGGAUAAUCAUGUGGAGUGAAUGCUUCUUGCUAUUUCUACUAAAAAUGUAAGAAUCUCAUACAACAUGUCAUGCAGUUUCAAGGAGACUAUUUUCUUUUUGAAGAAGUAGGAGGUGGGAGAUCACUGAAAAGAGCAAACAAGCAAGCUGUUUCAUUGAGAAAGGAAACAGUGAAACCUGGUUUCCUACAGAUCUGUGCUGACCAGCCCAGCACCAAACAUCAUAGAAAAGUAUGGUCAGCUUUAAACAAAGAGCAAGAACUACAACUACGUGAUUCAGAGGGUCAGACAAUCUGAAAAAAGAACAAGUCACCAUUUAGCCUAACAGGCCCAGACCAGCCUCAUUCAUUCAGCCUCUACCCGGCACUCAAAGGAGCCCCAUUUCAGCUUGUC